GAUGAACGCUGGCGGCGUGCUUAACACAUGCAAGUCGAACGGAAAGGCCCAAGCUUGCUUGGGUGCUCGAGUGGCGAACGGGUGAGUAACACGUGGGUGAUCUGCCCUGCACUUUGGGAUAAGCCUGGGAAACUGGGUCUAAUACCGGAUAGGACCAUCGUUUAGUGUCGGUGGUGGAAAGUUUUUCGGUGUGGGAUGAGCUCGCGGCCUAUCAGCUUGUUGGUGGGGUAAUGGCCUACCAAGGCGUCGACGGGUAGCCGGCCUGAGAGGGUGUACGGCCACAUUGGGACUGAGAUACGGCCCAGACGCCUACGGGAGGCAGCAGUGGGGAAUAUUGCACAAUGGGCGCAAGCCUGAUGCAGCGACGCCGCGUGGGGGAUGACGGCCUUCGGGUUGUAAACUCCUUUCGCCAAGGACGAAGCGUUUUGUGACGGUACUUGGAGAAGAAGCACCGGCUAACUACGUG
RNAcentral lists this ribosomal RNA (466 nucleotides) under uncultured bacterium. Its description in RNAcentral is "partial 16S ribosomal RNA". It matches the Rfam family "Bacterial small subunit ribosomal RNA", at positions 28 to 507 of the family's 1533-position model. The record is from RNAcentral.